Molecule: unclassified non-coding RNA, 285 nt
Filed under: uncultured bacterium
Lineage: Bacteria
Description: partial contains 16S ribosomal RNA and 16S-23S ribosomal RNA intergenic spacer region
Rfam family: Bacterial small subunit ribosomal RNA
Source: RNAcentral
UAAGAGAAGAAAGUCGAACGGAUUGAUUUAUGAUCUUGCUCAUGAUGAUUUUCGUGGCGAACGGGUGAGAAACACGUGGAUAACCUACCUCAUAAUCCGGGAUAACACUCCAAAAGGGGUGCUAAUACCGGAUGGGCCUUCUUACCGCAUGGUGAGGAGAGGGAAAGGCGCAAGCCGAUAUGAGAUGGGUCCGCGUCCCAUUAGCUAGUUGGUGAGGUAACGGCUCACCAAGAGCAACGAUGGGUAGCCGGCCUGAGAGGGUGAACGGCCACACUGGGACUGACA